Molecule: long non-coding RNA, 295 nt
Filed under: Nicotiana benthamiana
Lineage: Eukaryota; Viridiplantae; Streptophyta; Magnoliopsida; Solanales; Solanaceae
Description: long non-coding RNA (NBEN_LNC013388)
Source: RNAcentral
UUCCCCUUCUCCCUCUGUUACUUUCUUUUCUAAUUCUGUUUGUCCUGUUUUUGUUUCUUGUAAUGAUAACCAACUUGUUGCAUUGCCUUCUGUGUCUUCUUGUAAUGAUGACUUUUUGUCUGAUCACAAGGCUGUUUCUAUGCAUUCUCAUGUGAAUAGUUCCACUUGUAAUAAUGAUUUUACUUCUGGUAUGAAUUACACUUGGCACUUAAGACUUGCACAUAUUCCUUUUGCCAACAUGAAAUGCAUUUCUGGUCUGCCUUUUCCUUUUGCUUCCAAACAAUCAUUUCCCUGU